Molecule: unclassified non-coding RNA, 249 nt
Filed under: Chaetothyriales sp.
Lineage: Eukaryota; Fungi; Ascomycota; Eurotiomycetes; Chaetothyriales
Description: partial contains 5.8S ribosomal RNA, internal transcribed spacer 2, and large subunit ribosomal RNA
Source: RNAcentral
CGCACAUUGCGCCCCUUGGUAUUCCGGGGGGCAUGCCUGUUCGAGCGUCAUUAUCACCUCUCAAGCCUGGCUUGGUGUUGGACCGCGUCCCGCAAGAGACCGGCCCCAAAGACAAUGACGGCGUCUGUGGGACCCUCCGUGCAAUGAGUCGUUACCGGCACGCACGGUUUGGGCACCACUGGACCCGGCCUUUUUAUCAUUUUUAUCAAGGUUGACCUCGGAUCAGGUAGGGAUACCCGCUGAACUUAA